This 253-nucleotide ribosomal RNA is filed under the name uncultured bacterium. Its description in RNAcentral is "partial 16S ribosomal RNA". It matches the Rfam family "Bacterial small subunit ribosomal RNA", at positions 524 to 776 of the family's 1533-position model. The record is from RNAcentral.
UACGGAGGGUGCAAACGUUGCUCGGAAUCAUUGGGCGUAAAGGGCGCGUAGGCGGUGUGUCAAGUCAGGCGUGAAAGCCCCGGGCUCAACCUGGGAACAGCGCUUGAGACUGGCACGCUCGAGUUCGGGAGAGGAUGGUGGAAUUCCCAGUGUAGAGGUGAAAUUCGUAGAUAUUGGGAAGAACACCGAUGGCGAAGGCAGCCAUCUGGACCGACACUGACGCUGAGGCGCGAAAGCGUGGGGAGCAAACAGG